CACCCCGCAGCGGGCGGCCGGCGGCGGUCCGCUGCCGCUGGACCGGCAGCCGGUGCUGUUCACGGCGGCCGAGGUGCC
This 78-nucleotide transfer RNA is filed under the name Streptomyces galilaeus. RNAcentral's name for it is "tRNA-Gly". The record is from RNAcentral. Lineage: Bacteria; Bacillati; Actinomycetota; Actinomycetes; Kitasatosporales; Streptomycetaceae.